AGGCCAUCGCCGGCCUUUUGGCUAAGAUCAAGUGUAGUAUCUGUUCUUAUCAGUUUAAUAUCUGAUACGCCCCGAUUCGGGGCAACGAUUAAACCCAUUUUUAGAACAGGGAGCUGAAUAAGGGGCUCGCCCGUUCGCUCCACGCAUCGACCCGGUAUUGCAGCGCCCGGGAACGGUGCCCCUUUG
Oreochromis aureus is the source of this 186-nucleotide small nuclear RNA. Its record names the gene U2. It matches the Rfam family "U2 spliceosomal RNA". From Rfam's summary of the family: U2 is a small nuclear RNA (snRNA) component of the spliceosome (involved in pre-mRNA splicing). NCBI's taxonomy places the organism in Eukaryota, Metazoa, Chordata, Actinopteri, Cichliformes, Cichlidae. The record is from Ensembl.